Molecule: ribosomal RNA, 440 nt
Filed under: uncultured bacterium
Lineage: Bacteria
Description: partial 16S ribosomal RNA
Rfam family: Bacterial small subunit ribosomal RNA
Source: RNAcentral
ACUACGGGAGGCAGCAGUGGGGAAUAUUGCACAAUGGGGGAAACCCUGAUGCAGCGACGCCGCGGGAGUGAAGAAGUAAUUCGUUAGGUAAAGCUCGAUCAGCAGGGAAGAAAAUGACGGUACCUGAGUAAGAAGCCCCGGCUAACUACGUGCCAGCAGCCGCGGUAAGACGUAGGGGGCAAGCGUUAUCCGGAUUUACUGGGUGUAAAGGGAGCGUAGACGGCAGUGCAAGUCUGGAGUGAAAGGCGGGGGCUCAACCCCCGGACUGCUCGGGAGAGUGUACGGCUGGAGUGCCGGAGAGGUCAGUGGAAUUCCUCGUGUAGCGGUGAAAUGCGUCGAUAUUAGGAGGCCCCCCAGUGGCGCAGGCGGCUUACUGGACUGUAACUGCCGUUGAGGCUCGACCGCGUGGGGAGCAAACAGGAUUAGAUCCCCCUGUAGUC